RNAcentral lists this ribosomal RNA (253 nucleotides) under uncultured bacterium. Its description in RNAcentral is "partial 16S ribosomal RNA". It matches the Rfam family "Bacterial small subunit ribosomal RNA", at positions 524 to 776 of the family's 1533-position model. The record is from RNAcentral.
UACGUAGGUGGCAAGCGUUGUCCGGAUUUAUUGGGUUUAAAGGGUGCGUAGGCGGCCCGUUAAGUCAGUGGUGAAAGCCUCCAGCUCAACUGGAGAACUGCCAUUGAUACUGACGGGCUUGAGUACAGACGAGGUUGGCGGAAUUGAUUGUGUAGCGGUGAAAUGCAUAGAUACAAUCAAGAACUCCGAUUGCGUAGGCAGCUAACUAGGCUGUAACUGGCGCUGAGGCACGAAAGCGUGGGGAGCGAACAGG